Molecule: ribosomal RNA, 2449 nt
Filed under: activated sludge metagenome
Description: bacterial LSU rRNA
Rfam family: Bacterial large subunit ribosomal RNA (bases 1-1926)
Source: RNAcentral
AAACGACAGUGAUUCCCCAAGUAGUGGCGAGCGAACGGGGAACAGCCUAAACCGGUGGCGUGUCAAGCCUGCAAGCGUUGCGUCACCGGGGUUGCGGAGCUCCAUUGGAGGGAAUUGCAGUUCUCUCGGAAAGUUACAAAAUCUGUUUAUAGCCGAAGCUGCUGGAAAGCGGCGUCACAGAGGGUGAUAGCCCCGUAAGCGAAAUGAACAGAUCUUUCUGGAUGGAGUUUCCAAGUACUGCGGGACACGAGAAAUCCCGCAGGAACCCGGGGGGACCAUCUCCCAAGGCUAAAUACUACCUGGCAACCGAUAGUGCACUAGUACCGUGAGGGAAAGGUGAAAAGUACUCCGAGAGGAGAGUGAAAUAGUACCUGAAACCGUGUGCCUACAAGGUGUGGAAGGACCAGGGAUGAAGCAAUUCAUCCGGUCUGACCGCGUGCCUUUUGUAUAAUGAGUCAGCGAGUUACUCUAUGUAGCGAGGUUAAGCCGUCAGGUGGAGCCGUAGCGAAAGCGAGUCUUAAUAGGGCGAUUUAGUUGCAUGGAGUAGACCCGAAGCCAGGUGAUCUAUUCAUGGCCAGGGUGAAGCGUAUGUAACAGUGCGUGGAGGCCCGAACCGGUGUGGGUUGAAAACCGCUCGGAUGAGCUGUGGAUAGGGGUGAAAGGCCAAUCAAACUUGGAAAUAGCUGGUUCUCCCCGAAAUAUAUUUUGGUAUAGCCUUGCAACUUUAAGUACCGGAGGUAGAGCACUGAAUGGGCUAGGGGUCCUACCAGACUACCAACCCCAACCAAACUCCGAAUGCCGGUAACUUCAAUUGCAGGAGUCAGACUGCGGGAGAUAAGUUCCGUGGUCGAGAGGGAAACAGCCCAGAUCGCCAGCUAAGGUCCCUAAUACAUGCUAAGUGGAAAAGGAUGUGGAAGCGUAUAGACAGCCAGGAGGUUGGCUUAGAAGCAGCCACCCUUUAAAGAAAGCGUAAUAGCUCACUGGUCAAAUGAGUCUGCGCCGAAAAUUUAACGGGGCUCAAGCAUGUAACCGAAGCUGCGGACUUGCAUCGCAAGAUGGGAGUGGUAGGGGAGCAUUCUGUCGUAGGUUGAAGCCGGAUCGAAAGGCCCGGUGGACGAAACAGAAGAGAUUAUGCUGACAUAAGUAGCGAUAAAGUCUGUGAAAAACAGACUCGCCGAAAACCUAAGGUUUCCUGAGUAAAGCUAAUCUUCUCAGGGUUAGUCGAUCCCUAAGCCGAGGCCGACAGGCGUAGGUGAUGGGAAACAGGUUAAUAUUCCUGUACCACUGAAGACGCGUUAUCAACUAAGGGGGGACGUAGAAGGGUAAGCCAUCCGGGUGUUGGAUGUCCCGGUUCAAGCAAGUAGGAGGAGAUUCCAGGCAAAUCCGGAAUCUUAUUUAAAACUCCGAGAUGCGACGAGGAGAGAUUUAUCUCAUAAACUGGCCGAUCCCAUGCUACCAAGAAAAUCCUCGUAGUGAGUUUCUUUGGUGCUCGUACCGUAAACUGACACAGGUAGGUAAGGAGAGAAUCCUAAGGCGCUUGAGUGAUCUCUCGUUAAGGAACUCGGCAAAAUGACACCGUAACUUCGGAAGAAGGUGUGCCUCGUUAGCGUGAAGCGAUUCGCACGUGAAGCGCGAGGAGGUUGCAGUGAAACGGCCCAAGCGACUGUUUAGCAAAAACACAGGACUCUGCGAAGUCGUAAGACGAUGUAUAGGGUCUGACGCCUGCCCGGUGCCGGAAGGUUAAGGGGAUUUGUUAGCCGCAAGGCGAAGCUUUGAACCGAAGCCCCGGUAAACGGCGGCCGUAACUAUAACGGUCCUAAGGUUAAAGUGAAAAACGCUAGCCUUAGUAAAACUAAACCAUAUGCGGGAAACUCCUCAACAGCCGUUCGAUACUCGUUUCGCGGACGACGCGGAACAGUAAAAAUUCGACGGACAGGGGGACAAUCCGCAGGGAAGGCCCGGAUCGUUUGAAAUCCGGGAACCCUCAGAGACUUGAUGUUUGGAGUUGACUUAUGAAUAUCAGUGCGGAAUGGAUCACAGGAUUUGUUGAUGGGGAAGGAUGCUUUCAUAUCGGCAUCAAUACUCAUGAUGAAAUGACGGCAGGUUUUCAGGUUUUACCGGAAUUCACCGUUGUUCAGCAUCAAAGAGAUGUGCAAAUCCUGCAUGCUCUGAAAGCGUAUUUCCAGUGCGGCGUCGUGAGGACCAAUCACGGUGACCGGAUGGCUUAUCGCGUAAGAGCAAAAGAGCAUUUGCUUGAAAAAAUUAUUCCAUUCUUCAUGAAGCACCCGUUGAAAUCAAAGAAACGCCAGGAUUUUUUAAAGUUCCGAAAGGUUGUUUUGAUGAUGGAAAAGGGUGAGCAUUUGACUGACGAGGGGAUUGAAAGGAUCCGUGAGAUAGCCGGUCAAAUGAAUCGAAGUCAAUUAAGGUAAAGUCCGUCCUUCUUGGAAAC